Long non-coding RNA from Camelus dromedarius (Arabian camel), 1100 nucleotides. RefSeq lists it as uncharacterized. Lineage: Eukaryota; Metazoa; Chordata; Mammalia; Artiodactyla; Camelidae. The transcript is spliced from 3 exons. The record is from RefSeq and is a predicted model, not a curated record.
UUAAUGUGAGUAACCCCUGUGUAACUAGGUGGGGAUGACCCAGAUGAAGUUGUGAAAUCUGGGCCAAGUCCAGUUUCAUAAAAACUUCACGUUCAAAUACAUAGAAUCGAUCUGGAAACAGGCAUGGCCCCCUCCCCACCACCAGUGAAGUACCAGCUCGGUUCAACGAACACUCUUGACCCUUUCCUGUUCCAUGCAAAGUUCACCCGUUCACCCGAACGUCCGGGACCCCCUGCCGGCCUCUGGCCCGCGCCUCGUCACACGCACGCUGCACGAGACAAACCGAGGGGACUUGGCCCCGCUUCCAGACCGGCUGGACGGAGACACCGCCGAGCGUUCCCUUUCUGCUCACUGCGCCCGAGCGGACUGCAGUUCCUCUUCCUCAUGCAGUUUUAGUUUCUCUGCGUUUAUGUGUAAUGGUGAUGCUCUGGUCAUAGAUGCCAAGGUCUACAGGAAGUCACUGACUUGUAAUAAUCACUUUCGUAACUGCUAAACGUGGUAACUCAUCAGGUUCAAAAGAGGCAGUGUCACCAAGACUUUACCUUGGACAAAGUCCACAGUGACUCACGAGCAGGUGGAUAAAACGGUGAAAACACCCGCCUCUCCCACCAGCCCCUGGAGGUAACAGGUCACUGCUUAUUCGAUUACCCACUCAAUAGUGCUUUUGUUUCACAUAGUUUUGCUUUCAAAUCCAGUCCUGUAAACAUGUAAUUCAAGAAUCCACAUUUUAAGAAUGGACUGCAAUUGAGAAAUAGAAUGCAGAAAACCAACAGUGUCGAGAUCAACAUUUUAAUGUGAUUCUCAUUCAAACUGGGGGAAAAAAUCACAAACAAACCCGUGCAGACAGUCCCAGGGCCGCUCUAAUGUAAGAGGAGCUUUUGGUCAUCACCUUAUCAGUUUUUUAUGUUUUGAAAUUUUGCAUUAUCUUGACUUAUUUGAAGACUUCAUUUUCGCUGGGGACAAGCCAUUUGGUAUUGUUCUGGUGCCUUGGUUACACGCAGCCAUGGAGAUUUGAGAUGGGUGAACAAGCCAGAGCGUUUUAAAGCUAUGACUGGAACCCCCCCCCCCUUAAUUUGAAGACAGAAAAAUGUAAAAGUUCC